UACGUAGGUGGCAAGCGUUGUCCGGAAUUAUUGGGCGUAAAGCGCGCGCAGGCGGUCCUUUAAGUCUGAUGUGAAAGCCCACGGCUCAACCGUGGAGGGUCAUUGGAGACUGGGGGACUUGAGUGCAGAAGAGGAAAGCGGAAUUCCACGUGUAGCGGUGAAAUGCGUAGAGAUGUGGAGGAACACCAGUGGCGAAGGCGGCUUUCUGGUCUGUAACUGACGCUGAGGCGCGAAAGCGUGGGGAGCAAACAGG
RNAcentral lists this ribosomal RNA (253 nucleotides) under uncultured bacterium. Its description in RNAcentral is "partial 16S ribosomal RNA". It matches the Rfam family "Bacterial small subunit ribosomal RNA", at positions 524 to 776 of the family's 1533-position model. The record is from RNAcentral.